Long non-coding RNA from Lemur catta (Ring-tailed lemur), 404 nucleotides. RefSeq lists it as uncharacterized. The record is from RefSeq and is a predicted model, not a curated record. NCBI's taxonomy places the organism in Eukaryota, Metazoa, Chordata, Mammalia, Primates, Lemuridae. The transcript has 3 exons.
GAGCGGGUUGCCGGGUUCUCUAGCACAGGUGGCGCUCUCUCUCCCGUUGCCUACGAUUUUGUUCAGGGACAGGGAGGAAAUCGCUUGAUCUCAGAGAAGCAGAUGUCCUGCCACCUUCUUGAAUCCUGGUUGGUCUAAGGCCUGACAGCUGCUAUUUCAUGGGGCCACGCGGGCCACUCUGUGGAGCACCCGUGGGGUGGAACUGAAGCCUUCUGCCAACAGCCAGGUUGAAAGCUGAUGCUACGGCCACACCAGGCUUCAGACAGCUGCUGCCCCGACCAACAGCGUGACUGCGACUGCGUGGGAGACCCUGAGCCUCAUAAACCUCUCAGGCAAGCUGCUCCCUGAGAAACCAUGUGACAUCAUACAUAUUUAUCAGUUUAAGUUACUAAGUUUGGGGGCAU